GAUGAACGCUGGCGGCGUGCCUAAUACAUGCAAGUCGAGCGAACGGACGAGAAGCUUGCUUCACUGAUGUUAGCGGCGGACGGGUGAGUAACACGUGGAUAACCUACCUAUAAGACUGGGAUAACUUCGGGAAACCGGAGCUAAUACCGGAUGAUAUUUUGAAACGCAUGGUUCAAAAGUGAAAGACGGUCUUGCUGUCACUUAUAGAUGGAUCCGCGCUGCAUUAGCUAGUUGGUAAGGUAACGGCUUACCAAGGCAACGAUGCAUAGCCGACCUGAGAGGGUGAUCGGCCACACUGGAACUGAGACACGGUCCAGACUCCUACGGGAGGCAGCAGUAGGGAAUCUUCCGCAAUGGGCGAAAGCCUGACGGAGCAACGCCGCGUGAGUGAUGAAGGUCUUCGGAUCGUAAAACUCUGUUAUUAGGGAAGAACAUAUGUGUAAGUAACUGUGCACAUCUUGACGGUACCUAAUCAGAAAGCCACGGCUAACUACGUG
Molecule: ribosomal RNA, 497 nt
Filed under: uncultured bacterium
Lineage: Bacteria
Description: partial 16S ribosomal RNA
Rfam family: Bacterial small subunit ribosomal RNA
Source: RNAcentral